Macadamia integrifolia is the source of this 512-nucleotide long non-coding RNA. RefSeq lists it as uncharacterized. NCBI's taxonomy places the organism in Eukaryota, Viridiplantae, Streptophyta, Magnoliopsida, Proteales, Proteaceae. The record is from RefSeq and is a predicted model, not a curated record. The transcript is spliced from 2 exons.
AUUUGCGCAGGGUUGGUUCGGUAGUCAUUGUUGGAGGAACACAUUUCUGUUCUUCAUUGUAGUUGUUACAUGAAAAAAUCAGGCAGUUGUUGAAUUGAGAAGUUUGUGGAAGUUAUUGUAACAAAGGUUGGUAGAUUUUUCUAGGGAGGAAAUUAUCCGGAGCUACUAUUGUCAUGGAGGUGGCUGUUUGUUCUGAAUUUGACUCAGGUCUGUGAGAACCAGAGAUGUUGCUACUCAGGCCUCAAUCAAACAUGCUUCCCAGUGAGGGAAAUUGGCUAUAUUAUCUAGACCCAUCUGAGUUGUGCUUUGGUUCUUACCUCCGCAUCUCUCGUUGUCAGCAAUCCUAGAAGAGCACAAGUACUUCUCUUGCAAAUGAAAGUGUUGGUUUUUUCUUUUGUUUAUCCUAUCUUGCAGAGAAGACCAAAUUAUAUACACUUCGAAUAGAAGCAUAUCCAUAUUUCCAAAGUUAAACCCCAUGGUAUUGCUCAAGUAAAGAUCAUGUUUAAAGCUUA